RNAcentral lists this long non-coding RNA (1398 nucleotides) under Sus scrofa (pig). RNAcentral describes it as "lncRNA (ENSSSCG00050001900.1)". The record is from RNAcentral. Lineage: Eukaryota; Metazoa; Chordata; Mammalia; Artiodactyla; Suidae.
AGCAGAGUGUGACUUCCAGGACAUUUCCUUAAAGGGAAGAUGCAGGCUCUUCUUCAGUGCUGUCUUCCUCCUUCCCACUGGCUGGAGCUCCAGCGGCUGUCUUGAGCCAUGAAAUGACCUUGGACAUGGAAAUGACACCUAGCAAAUCAAUAUGCUAGAGGGGGCCUGGGCCCCUGAUGGCACCUAGCUAUCAACCCACAUUCAAGUACAGGAGCAAAAAAAUGCACAGGGUGUAGACUCACGUGCAACUGAGUGGGGUGGGAGGGAUGGGGUGCCCAGGAGAGAGGAGCUGCCAGGCAUGCAACACCCCCUCAAGGAGCACUUCCUCCUGCAUGAGCUGUGAGGCCAGGAGGAAGCUGGUGGAAGGACUUGCUCCAAGAGGAACUGGAAACAGAGGGUGGAUGGACGAAAAAAAAAAAAAAAAAAAAGGAAGCAACAAAGGAAUGAAAGGACCAGGUGACUUAAGGGAGAACUCUGCUUGCCUGUGAGAUGAGCUCCGGUGCAGAGGGAGCCGUGGACCGUCAGGAAGAAAAGGGCCCCACACCCUAAACAGAGCCUCAGCCUGCACCGGAGCCUCGAGCCUCUGCUCCCACCACCAUAGAAUCACACAAGGUAAUGAUUUGGGAUCAUUGGAUGUGAGAAUCCUACAGAGGUGAGUUGGAAGCCACUUUGGGCAAAGCUAAUUGUUCUGCACCUUUGGUUCUUCUUCUGCUUAAAAAAAUUUUGAAUGAAGAAAGAAAAAAACAAGAGUUCCCAUUGUGGCAUAGCGGAAACGAAUCCGACUAGUAACCAUGAGAUUGCAGGUUCGAUCCCUGGCCUCGCUCAGUGGGUUAAGGAUCUGGCAUUGCCAUGAGCUGUGGUAUAAGUCGCAGACCCAGCUUGGAUCCCAUGUUGCUGUGGCUGUGGUAUGGGCUAUCCAAUUCGACCCCAAAGCCUGGGAACCUCCAUAUGCCAUGGGUGUAGCUCUUUAAAAAAGCAAAAAGAAAGAAAGGAAGGAAGGAAAGACGAAACAAACAACCUAAAUGUCCAUCAACAGAGGAGUGGAUCAAGAAGAUGUGGUACAUAUACACAAUGGAAUAUUACUCAGCCAUUAAAAGGAAUGAAAUACCGGCAUUUUUAGCAACACGGAUGGACCUAGAAAUUAUCAUGCUAAGUGAAAUCAGCCAGACAAUGAGACAUCAACAUCAAAUGCUUUCACUGACAUGUGGAAUCUGAAAAAAGGACAAAAUUAACUUCUUUGCAGAACAGAUACUGACUCACAGAAUUUGAAAAACUUACGGUCUCCAAAGGAGACAGUUUGGGGGGUGGAGGGAUGCACUGGGGGAUGGAAAUGCUAUAAAACUUGGUUGUGAUGAUCAUUGUACAACUACAAAUGUAAUAAAUUCAUUGAUAAAAACA